CAGAACAGCUAAACUGUCUGUGAGGAACAAUGGCUAAGUUACCUACCUAAAACUUCUUUUAACUUGCAAGUUGCAGGCAGAAGGAACAGCACACACUACUGUCAUUUGUGCCUUACAAAGUGAAAAUUGUAAAAUCUGUCUGGUGAAAGUUCCCCACACUCCUCAUGAAGGCACUCCUCUCUCUGGGGUGGAAAAAUUUGGAUGACAACACAUUCAGUAGAACCUGAGCCUGCAUCAUCCCUCUAGACCUUAGGGUGUUUGAGAAGCUUCUCUUCAUGCUUAAGGUUUUUUCCAGUAUGGAGGGAAAGAAAAGAAGGAAGAGGAAAUGGUACAACUGGAAUCCAGCAGACCGAGUUGUCAUCUUGGCUGUUCUUCCUGAAAAUCUGGAAUCUUUGGAUUAGUUACUAGUUACUCUGGAUUUACUACAAUGAGAUAAGAAUCUGAUAAAGCUGCUGUAAUUUUUGUGAACUGUUUUUAAUUGGUAUCUGUGUCUCUAUCUACACAUACAUAGGCAAUAUGUGGACAGUUGUCUGUACUUCACAAAAAUUGUACUUCAUGGAUGU
Molecule: long non-coding RNA, 563 nt
Organism: Passer domesticus (house sparrow)
Lineage: Eukaryota; Metazoa; Chordata; Aves; Passeriformes; Passeridae
Exons: 3
Source: RefSeq, a predicted model, not a curated record